UUCCUGCCCGAUCCCCUGGGACUGUGAUAUGAUGGGGCAUAAAGACUCUGACAGAUGUCCCAAAAGUUUCUGAUCGAUUGACUUUAAAAUAAGGAGAUAAUCCUGGAUUAUCUGGAUGAGUCUAUUCCAAUCACAGCCCUUAAAAGCAGAACAGGAAAUCUCAGAGACUGUGCAGACUUCAAAGGCGGAAGGGCCUCCAGGAGCAGGGAGGGGUCCCAGCGUACAGCCAGCAAGGAGUCAGAGACCUCGGACCCGUGAGCACCAGGAACUGCAUUCAGCCAACAACCCAAGUGAGCCAAGUGGCUUCUUCCCAGGCUGACGGUCCAGAGCUAGUACACAGGGAGAUGAUUCAGCACGUUCGGGCUCCUGACAACUGGCUGCUUACACCUCGCUUUACCAUUUUCACAACAGCAAGUGAUGAGAGUCCCACAGAAAACGUCCACAGUGCAACACGGCGCAGGGCUGAGGUCUGACCAACAGAAGGCAUUAAAUAUGGACAUGUCCCACAAAGAGCCUGGCUGCGAAAGGAGGGAAGUUACUGAGGGACCCAGGCAUGGAGCUGGGGCCCCUCCGGCCACCCCCCAAUUCCCUCUUUCCUGGUGACAGAGACAAGGCAGCUGUGGAAUCGAGGGUGCCACACACCACGUGUCCAGAUGGCCUCUGUGGCAAAGGUUCUUUUCAUACUGCGGUGGCCCUCAGACAGCAGGGCCGGAGCACAGCACACGCCUCUGCAGAGCUUUCCGGCAAAAGGGACCCUGUGCAUCCAUAGGUGCUGCCUACCCCUACGUUUCACUCUAUCAUUAUUCCGUUAUUACUUUCCAUGUAAUACAACAGAGCUAUCACAACUUACACUGACAGAAGUUAACCUUAUAGUAAAACCAAACAAACACGUCCACUUGUGUCCCCUAAAGCGUAAACUGCCAAUGCAGUGAGAGCCCAAGAUGCCUUUCGGAUUCAAUGUGAAUUAUUUAGCCAGUUGGCUCCAGUUCCUAGAACCUCCACAUCUCCCAAGUUAAAGCAGAAACUGACACAAGAAACCACGUCCUCUUAAAGUGAUCAAAAUAUACCACCUGUUUUAUACAUGAAGAUAUUCAAUUACCCAAACUCAACGAUAUAAUCUUCACUAUAAACGUUG
Long non-coding RNA from Herpailurus yagouaroundi (jaguarundi), 1135 nucleotides. RefSeq lists it as uncharacterized. The transcript is spliced from 3 exons. NCBI's taxonomy places the organism in Eukaryota, Metazoa, Chordata, Mammalia, Carnivora, Felidae. The record is from RefSeq and is a predicted model, not a curated record.